GCUGGGUAGGGUGACACAUGCCUGUAAUCCCAUCUGCUCAGGAGGCUGAGGCAGGAGGACCGCAAGUUCAAAGCCAGCCUCAGCAAAAGUGAGUUGCUGAGCAACUCAGUGAGACCCUGUCUCUA
Molecule: small RNA, 125 nt
Filed under: Marmota monax (woodchuck)
Lineage: Eukaryota; Metazoa; Chordata; Mammalia; Rodentia; Sciuridae
Source: RNAcentral